RNAcentral lists this ribosomal RNA (497 nucleotides) under uncultured bacterium. RNAcentral describes it as "partial 16S ribosomal RNA". It matches the Rfam family "Bacterial small subunit ribosomal RNA", at positions 28 to 507 of the family's 1533-position model. The record is from RNAcentral.
GAUGAACGCUGGCGGCGUGCCUAAUACAUGCGAGUCGAGCGAACAGACGAGGAGCUUGCUCCUCUGACGUUAGCGGCGGACGGGUGAGUAACACGUGGAUAACCUACCUAUAAGACUGGGAUAACUUCGGGAAACCGGAGCUAAUACCGGAUAAUAUAUUGAACCGCAUGGUUCAAUAGUGAAAGACGGUUUUGCUGUCACUUAUAGAUGGAUCCGCGCCGCAUUAGCUAGUUGGUAAGGUAACGGCUUACCAAGGCAACGAUGCGUAGCCGACCUGAGAGGGUGAUCGGCCACACUGGAACUGAGACACGGUCCAGACUCCUACGGGAGGCAGCAGUAGGGAAUCUUCCGCAAUGGGCGAAAGCUUGACGGAGCAACGCCGCGUGAGUGAUGAAGGUCUUCAGAUCGUAAAACUCUGUUAUUAGGGAAGAACAAAUGUGUAAGUAACUAUGCACGUCUUGACGGUACCUAAUCAGAAAGCCACGGCUAACUACGUG